UAGUCAUAUGCUUGUCUCAAAGAUUAAGCCAUGCAUGUCUAAGUAUAAACUGCUUAUACUGUGAAACUGCGAAUGGCUCAUUAAAUCAGUUAUAGUUUAUUUGAUGGUACCUACUACUCGGAUAACCGUAAACGAGAGUUAUUGCGGUAGGGAGACGAGAGUCGUCCCUAGUAGCUCGUCAGAGCUGCGACACUGUCAAAUUGCCUGGACAUCCCGCUACGCUGAGGAGACCGUCUGAUUGGGGAAACCUGAUCGGACACCGACGGUGAAAGCCGUCGGGUAUGGUAACACUUCCUCGGCUAGGGACUAUGGGCAGCCAAGCUCUAAAAGCCUCCUUGGCUCAAGAGUGCAGUUCACAGACUAAAUGGCAGUGGGUGUCCGCCUCCCCAGGCGGAUGCUUAAGAUAUAGUCGGUCCCCAUCGAGAGGUGGACCGUCGGAGGAAUGGGGCGUUCAGCCCCAGGAGAGCCGAUGGUGUCUGACGACUGGAGUCGCCAGGCGGAGCAAACGAGUAAUUCUAGAGCUAAUACGUGCGUAAAUCCCGACUCCUGGAAGGGACGUAUUUAUUAGAUAAAAACCAAUGCAGGUUCGCCUGGUUGAUGGUGAUUCAUAAUAACUGAUCGAAUCGCAUGACCUUGUGUCGGCGAUAGUUCAUUCAAAUUUCUGCCCUAUCAGCUUUCGACGGUAGUGUAGUGGACUACC
This 700-nucleotide ribosomal RNA is filed under the name uncultured eukaryote. Its description in RNAcentral is "bacterial SSU rRNA". It matches the Rfam family "Eukaryotic small subunit ribosomal RNA", at positions 21 to 345 of the family's 1831-position model. The record is from RNAcentral.